Long non-coding RNA from Galleria mellonella (greater wax moth), 948 nucleotides. RefSeq lists it as uncharacterized. NCBI's taxonomy places the organism in Eukaryota, Metazoa, Arthropoda, Insecta, Lepidoptera, Pyralidae. The transcript has 3 exons. The record is from RefSeq and is a predicted model, not a curated record.
CUGUAUAUGUUGUUAGUACAAACUCUGUUUAGUUUAAGCCUAGAUGGCGCUGUACAUGACGCUUUCAGAGUUAUGAUUUUCUUUUACGCAACUUAGAAUGGCAAACAAGCUGACGGCCCAGUAUACUGUUUCGCCCAGGUGUUAUUCCUCUGUACCCUGUAAAUUCAUUGCCAUAUCAUCCCAUCCUUCAAACCGAAACACAGCCAUGUAAACACAACUGUUUCACGACAGAAACAGGAAUGAAACAGAGAUGCCCAAGCAAACGACUUUUGUAUAAAGUCUCCCUCUGGUUUUUGAGUUUUUGGUUAUUAUUUUUGCAUUGAUAUUCAAUUCCAGCAAAAUAUUUAUUGUGUAAGCCCAAUAUGAUGUUCUCGUAGUUUUAGGUGUUACCAAAUAAUGCAAAUAUUACAUGAAUUCGAGAAGUAAGUAAACCAGUUACAGUUGCAUUCGAAAUGGACUUUGCACCUCGGCAAGAACUAGUAUUGGACUUUGAUAGUAGUAGAAAAUACAGGGCCGAACUACAGGGCGGAUGUCUUUAGAUUGAGCGAAUGUAUAAGAUUGCAGAUGGGGGCAAAGUCCAAUAAUGAUCGGCCAAAGUCCACACGUACGUUUAAUAGGUAAUCUGAAUAAGUAUUAUGUACUCGUACCUACCGGAGGUGUACCAUAAAACAAGUCGAGUCACUGUGACACGCAAGAAAUAAUUUUAUGCAAUUACACGAUGAUUGGCCCGAGAAUAAUUUUAAUAUUACUGUCAUACGAGAUUUCUAAGUGAACAAUAACAAUGUUUGUCAUGGUGAUCACAGUCACAGACAAAGAGAGACAGAUAAAGCAUGUACAUCAAUAUAUAUGAAGACUAGUUUUUACCCGCGACUACGUCCACGUGACCGGGAUAUGUUCACUGACCGUGAUAACAAGAAAGUAGAAUUUUAUAGUGAUUUGUUAACUCGU